Molecule: ribosomal RNA, 250 nt
Filed under: uncultured prokaryote
Description: partial 16S ribosomal RNA
Rfam family: Bacterial small subunit ribosomal RNA
Source: RNAcentral
UACGUAGGGGGGCAAGCGUUAUCCGGAUUCACUGGGUGUAAAGGGAGCGUAGACGGUGGUGCAAGCCAGAUGUGAAAAUCCGGGGCUCAACUCCGGACCUGCAUUUGGAACUGCGUCACUGGAGUACCGGGUGGGCAGGCGGAAUUCCUGGUGUAGCGGUGAAAUGCGUAGAUAUCAGGAGGAACACCGGUGGCGAAGGCGGCCUGCUGGACGGUAACUGACGUUGAGGCUCGAAAGCGUGGGGAGCAAA